CCAUGGCUUAUGGACGUUACCAAUGCCAGGGACAGAGCCAAGCCGCUUCCUAGCAUUGAGUACUCUCCGCAGGCCUCGU
Molecule: non-coding RNA, 79 nt
Organism: Bombyx mori (domestic silkworm)
Lineage: Eukaryota; Metazoa; Arthropoda; Insecta; Lepidoptera; Bombycidae
Source: RefSeq, marked provisional